This 1705-nucleotide small RNA is filed under the name Oryza sativa Japonica Group (Japanese rice). Its description in RNAcentral is "sRNA Os06g0295250". The record is from RNAcentral. Lineage: Eukaryota; Viridiplantae; Streptophyta; Magnoliopsida; Poales; Poaceae.
GAUAGAAUCUUGUGGAGUGCAGCAAAGCAUAGUGUAGUGAUAACAAACUCCAUGAAAUAUCCAGAAGACUCUGACCUCAUUCUGGAGCCAGCCAUGUAGGCUAGUAGGAGGCCGAGCAAGUUCAUGACCAUGGUUAAAUGCAUCACCUUAAACGACCGGUUCUCCCUUAGCAGUUUCUCCGGUAGCAACAGGAUGAUAACAACAAUGGAUGCCAUGAAGGAAAAAGAGUUGCUGUAAAAGAAGAUGAGGUAACGGUACCUUCUGUUGUCAUGCAUAACUGGGUCACCGGCUGCAUGACCAUUGCUAUUGCCCUGCCACACACCCCCAGGUGGGUUGAGGCCGGCCUGGUAAGUAACACUUGCCGCCAAGACUGCUAACAACAUCAAGUAUUUGCGUGUUGCAUGUUUCUUUUUUGAGUCUUCCUCUGUCCUGAGAGAGUCUGUGUCUGAUUCCACUGUGCUGUCAUCUUCCUUUGUUUUAGGGGACUUUGCUGCUGUGUUAUCUUCUUUUAUUUCAUCAACAGACUUUGUCUCAGUGAAGGCUUCUUGUUUCACAGGGGUCUUAACUCCACUUCCUGUCUCUAAAUCUUCUUCGUUGGUUGACAUGCUUCCUGUAUUGACAUCUCUAUGAUAGAAACAUAUUAGGACUAAGAUCAUAAUGAAGAGCACUAAAGCUACCAACCCGAAGAUAUAUAUGGAUGUUUUUAGGUGUUGGGUGCUUCCGGCAGCAUAGGCACACAUGAGAGCAAACAUGCCUACCGCUGUGCAAACUGAGAGAGCAUAGCUUCGUAUGGCUGGUCUGUACAGGAUUGGGUUCACAAGGAGUAUAAUGAGUGCAAUCGAUGACAUGAAGCUCACUGAGUUGCAGUAGAAGAACGCCUUAUAACGGCUUGGAUAGUUGUAAAAGAUGACAGGGUCGCCUGCAUUGUGCCCAAACUCAUCAUCCUUCAGACGAAACCCGCCUGGUGGGGUCAACCCAGCUUGAUAAGUGAGGGUCGCACCCAACACAGCAAAAAGGAGCAACCUCUUGCGCCUCUUGUCCUCAAGCUUCCUGUCCUUGUCCCCACCCUUCUUUCCUAUGUCCUCAUCUUCAAGUGUGACGAACAGAACAUGAAUAAUCACAUAGACUAGGACAGCUCCAGCCAAGGCAAUGACAUAAAUGGAUGUGGUUACAUCUCUGCAGCUCCCAGCAGAGUAUGCACCAAUUAGGCCAAACAAAUCCAGUAUCAUGGCAAACUGUAGUAUGCGGCGCUUGAGCAUAGGUUUAUACUGGACCAAGAUGAUGAUGACCAAGGACGCUGCAAAGGCCAUUGAGUUGCAGUAAAAAAAUACCUUGUAACGUUCUGGUUGCAUGGAUAGGAGUAUUGGAUCGCCAGCCUCAUGUCCGUUCCAGUUGUCCUGCCAAACACCACCUGGUGGGACUAGUCCUGCUUGGUAUGUGACAGUUGCUACAAGAGUGGAAAGCAGUACAACAAGAGAUUGAGCCUUCUCCAGAAUAUCCGCAUUGCUUAAAAAUAUACAUGCAUUCCAUACCUGUCACUUGAAUCUGACUGAUGGAAUAUAAUUGUCUUGAGGACAAUAAUGCAUGCAAGAACGGCAAAAACUAGACUGCCCACAUAGAUGGUAGUGUCACUUUCUCGGCUGCUUCCGGUGGCAUAGGCCCCCGCAAGACCGACAAGAGCAAUAGAGAUGUAUGCUUUGAGCAC